This 874-nucleotide ribosomal RNA is filed under the name uncultured bacterium. RNAcentral describes it as "bacterial SSU rRNA". It matches the Rfam family "Bacterial small subunit ribosomal RNA", at positions 54 to 918 of the family's 1533-position model. The record is from RNAcentral.
CAUGCAAGUCGAGGGGAAACGACAUCGAAAGCUUGCUUUUGAUGGGCGUCGACCGGCGCACGGGUGAGUAACGCGUAUCCAACCUGCCCACCACUUGGGGAUAACCUUGCGAAAGUAAGACUAAUACCCAAUGACGUCUCUAGAAGACAUCCGAAAGAGAUUAAAGAUUUAUCGGUGAUGGAUGGGGAUGCGUCUGAUUAGCUUGUUGGCGGGGUAACGGCCCACCAAGGCGACGAUCAGUAGGGGUUCUGAGAGGAAGGUCCCCCACAUUGGAACUGAGACACGGUCCAAACUCCUACGGGAGGCAGCAGUGAGGAAUAUUGGUCAAUGGACGAGAGUCUGAACCAGCCAAGUAGCGUGCAGGAAGACGGCCCUAUGGGUUGUAAACUGCUUUUAUAAGGGAAUAAAGUGAGAGUCGUGACUCUUUUUGCAUGUACCUUAUGAAUAAGGACCGGCUAAUUCCGUGCCAGCAGCCGCGGUAAUACGGAAGGUCCGGGCGUUAUCCGGAUUUAUUGGGUUUAAAGGGAGCGUAGGCCGGAGAUUAAGCGUGUUGUGAAAUGUAGAUGCUCAACAUCUGAACUGCAGCGCGAACUGGUUUCCUUGAGUACGCACAAAGUGGGCGGAAUUCGUGGUGUAGCGGUGAAAUGCUUAGAUAUCACGAAGAACUCCGAUUGCGAAGGCAGCUCACUGGAGCGCAACUGACGCUGAAGCUCGAAAGUGCGGGUAUCGAACAGGAUUAGAUACCCUGGUAGUCCGCACGGUAAACGAUGGAUGCCCGCUGUUGGUCUGAAUAGGUCAGCGGCCAAGCGAAAGCAUUAAGCAUCCCACCUGGGGAGUACGCCGGCAACGGUGAAACUCAAAGGAAUUGACGGGG